Molecule: ribosomal RNA, 582 nt
Filed under: Pasiphaea exilimanus
Lineage: Eukaryota; Metazoa; Arthropoda; Malacostraca; Decapoda; Pasiphaeidae
Description: partial 12S ribosomal RNA
Source: RNAcentral
GACUAAAAGGGGAAGUAAAAUUUAUAAGUAAAGUAGUAUAUUUGAUUUUAUAAAUAUAAAGAUUGUUGUAUAAAUAAAGAAGUCAAAUGUGUAAUUUAGAUUAUUCGGUUUAUAUUAUAAAUGGGUUAAAAUCUAUAAAAUAUUAGAUAUAAAUUAGGAUUAGAUACCCUGUUAUUCUAAUAAGAAAUUUAAAAUACUUGAGUAGUAAAUAGGUAUGAACUAGAAACUUAAAGAAUUUGGCGGUAUUUUAUUCUUAUUAGAGGAGGUUGCCCUGUAAACGAUAUAACGCGUAGGAUCUUUCUUCUUUUUGUAAUUACAGGCUUGUAUAUCGUCAUUAUAAAUAUUUUGUAAAAUUAUAUAUUAAGAUAAAUUAAUUAUUAAAUAUAUUAGAUCAAGGUGCAGCUUAUAAGGAAGUAUGCGGUGAGCUACAAUAAAAUUUAAUUUAAAUGGAUUUAAAAAUUGAAAGUUAUUUUUUUGAAGGUGGAUUUAAAAGUAAUCAUAUUUUUAAUAAGGUGUUAUGAAUGUUGAGCUCUAAAAUAUGUACAUAUCGCCCGUCACUCUCGCUUGAAAAUAAGGUAACGU